AAAAGUGACCAACCACCGGGGGUUGAGUGUAAUGGAAGAGACAAAAUCAAAACAUGCAACUUUUGUCACCGAAGACAAAUUCUGAGUAGUCUGAGAUCUUGAAGGCACGCCUCUGCACUUAUAACGCCUAUUAUAAUGUUGACAAUUAAUUGUUUAAUUUAUGAUGAGAAAUAAAAAAAAUGCUGUUGUAAAAUGUAAAUGUAUAUCUGUUUUGUAAACAUCUAAUUAUCGCAAAAAUUCGAAAAUCGAACGUCAGACAAUGGCAGGA
Culex quinquefasciatus (southern house mosquito) is the source of this 268-nucleotide long non-coding RNA. RefSeq lists it as uncharacterized. The record is from RefSeq and is a predicted model, not a curated record. The transcript has 2 exons. Lineage: Eukaryota; Metazoa; Arthropoda; Insecta; Diptera; Culicidae.